GACGAACGCUGGCGGCGUGCUUAACACAUGCAAGUCGAGCGGUAAGGCCCCUUCGGGGGUACACGAGCGGCGAACGGGUGAGUAACACGUGGGUGACCUGCCCUCAGCUCUGGGAUAAGCCUGGGAAACUGGGUCUAAUACCGGAUAUGACUCCAUGACGCAUGUCGUGGGGUGGAAAGCCUUGUGCGGCUGGGGAUGGGCCCGCGGCCUACCAGCUUGUUGGUGGGGUGAUGGCCACCAAGGCGACGACGGUAGCCGGCCUGAGAGGGCGACCGGCCACACUGGGACUGAGACACGGCCCAGACUCCUACGGGAGGCAGCAGUGGGGAAUCUUGCGCAAUGGGCGAAAGCCUGACGCAGUGACGCCGCGUGAGGGAUGACGGCCU
Molecule: ribosomal RNA, 386 nt
Filed under: uncultured bacterium
Lineage: Bacteria
Description: bacterial SSU rRNA
Rfam family: Bacterial small subunit ribosomal RNA
Source: RNAcentral